GUCAUAAAGAGUCCACUAGCGCCCCUCACUCAUACGUAGUGAUGGACGAUCCAAAGCAAACGCUCUACAUCAGAGGACUACCGGACAAGUCGUCCGCCAACGAAGUCCGACGUGCCCUUUAUCUGUACUGCACCCAGUUUGGCCCAGUGAAGGCGGUUCUGUACAGCAAGUCGAAAGAGUUCUACGGCCAGGCAUUUGUAGUGUUUACGGACGUUGGCACGGCCACAACAGCUCGCCGCUCGCUGCACGAUCGCAUGUUCUACGGCCGCCGAAUCCAGGCCUUUUACGCGCACAAGCAAGCAUUUUGCGUCGCACCCGGUGAGCGUCGCCGCCGCGAUCUGGCACGCGAGAAGAAGCGUUUGCGUACGUUGCAGAAGAAAGAGUAAUGUGGCACCUUGGAGAGCGCAUGCAUUUCCUUGAGGGAAAGGGGAACGGUGCCACGCUGCGCGGCCACACAAAGCCUCUGCACCAUUGUUCGUGUUCGAUUGGCGGGGCAGACACUGCUCGAGCUGAUGGUGUGACUCUCAUGCGCUGGCGUGGCGAUAAUGGCGCAGAAUGUGGCCCGCUGCCACUGCUGAAUUGUCAACCUCUGUCGUUGCCGUUGGGGCGAUGAAAAAGCGUAAUCUGGCCAGCGGCUGAGGGCGCGUCUGUGAAUCGACAGCUCUGGCAAUCAUGCCACUUCCACGGGCAGCACUGCCAACAAAGUACGUUACCCGGUGCGCACAAGUUUGCGUUCCCGCCUUUCGAGUUGCAGCGCGGUCCACUUGACCAGCAGACUCUCCUCCUUUCAUGCCUCCCUCUCUCUCACUCCCUGCAGAUAUGAGCGUACCUGCACACCCUUUCCUUUCUCAUCUUUACCUCGACUGGUUCACGUGUAACGCCUUCUCUAUUGUCUUCGACUCGUGCUUUUUUGGAAAG
This 918-nucleotide unclassified non-coding RNA is filed under the name Leishmania donovani. RNAcentral's name for it is "gene:LdHU3.29.1230(CDS-product:RNA_recognition_mo tif_(a.k.a._RRM_RBD_or_RNP_domain)/RNA_recognition_motif._( a.k.a._RRM_RBD_or_RNP_domain)_putative)". The record is from RNAcentral. Lineage: Eukaryota; Euglenozoa; Kinetoplastea; Trypanosomatida; Trypanosomatidae.